AGCAGCCGCGGUAAUUCCAGCUCCAAUAGCGUAUAUUAAAGUUGUUGCAGUUAAAAAGCUCGUAGUUGAAUUUUGGAUUCUGCCAAUUGGUCCAUCUUUUAGAUGAGUACUGGUUGUGUGGGGUCUAUCCGCCUGGUGAUACGUAAUGUCCUUUAUUGGAUGUUUCGGGUAGUCAGGACCUUUACCUUGAAAAAAUUAGAGUGUUUAAAGCAGGCUUAUGCCGGAAUACAUUAGCAUGGAAUAAUAGAAUAGGACGAAGUUGUUUUAUUUUGUUGGUUUCUAGGACAACCGUAAUGAUUAAUAGGGAUAGUUGGGGGCAUUAGUAUUCAAUUGUCAGAGGUGAAAUUCUUGGAUUUAUUGAAGACUAACUACUGCGAAAGCAUUUGCCAAGGAUGUUUUCAUUAAUCAAGAACGAAAUUAGGGGAUCGAAGACGAUCAGAUACCGUCGUAGUCUUAACCAUAAACUAUGCCGACUAGGGAUCGGGCGAUGUUGUUUCCAUGACUCGCUCGGGCACCUUAU
RNAcentral lists this ribosomal RNA (520 nucleotides) under uncultured Archaeospora. RNAcentral's name for it is "SSU rRNA". It matches the Rfam family "Eukaryotic small subunit ribosomal RNA", at positions 569 to 1091 of the family's 1831-position model. The record is from RNAcentral. Lineage: Eukaryota; Fungi; Glomeromycota; Glomeromycetes; Archaeosporales; Archaeosporaceae.